GUCGAACGAGAAAGGGGAGCAAUCCCUGAGUACAGUGGCGUACGGGUGAGUAACACGUGGAUGAUCUACCUUUUGGUGGGGAAUACCUCUGGGAAACCGGAGACAAUACCGCAUAAGCUCGGAAGAGGAAACCCGCAAGGGGCCGAAAGAGGAGUCCGCGGCCGAUUAGCUAGUUGGUGGGGUAAAGGCUCACCAAGGCAAAGAUCGGUAGCCGGCCUGAGAGGGCACACGGCCACACUGGCACUGAAACACGGGCCAGACUCCUACGGGAGGCAGCAGUGGGGAAUCUUGCACAAUGGGGGCAACCCUGAUGCAGCGACGCCGCGUGAGCGAUGAAGCCCUUCGGGGUGUAAAGCUCUUUCGACGGGAACGAUAAUGACGGUACCCGGAGAAGAAGCUGCGGCUAACUACGUGCCAGCAGCCGCGGUAAUACGUAGGCAGCAAGCGUUGUUCGGAGUUACUGGGCGUAAAGAGUGCGUAGGCGGUUGACCAAGUCUGUCGUGAAAUCUCCUGGCUUAACUGGGAGGGUGCGGUGGAAACUGGUUGGCUUGAGAGUGGGAGAGGUAAGCGGAAUUCCUGGUGUAGCGGUGAAAUGCGUAGAUAUCAGGAGGAACACCGGUGGUGUAGACGGCUUACUGGACCACGACUGACGCUGAGGCACGAAAGCGUGGGUAGCAAACAGGAUUAGAUACCCUGGUAGAAGGGC
RNAcentral lists this ribosomal RNA (706 nucleotides) under uncultured bacterium. Its description in RNAcentral is "bacterial SSU rRNA". It matches the Rfam family "Bacterial small subunit ribosomal RNA", at positions 61 to 795 of the family's 1533-position model. The record is from RNAcentral.